RNAcentral lists this antisense RNA (341 nucleotides) under Bacillus testis. Its description in RNAcentral is "Listeria sRNA rliD". The stretch from base 27 to 266 matches the Rfam family "Listeria sRNA rliD", at positions 27 to 208 of the family's 327-position model. Lineage: Bacteria; Bacillati; Bacillota; Bacilli; Caryophanales; Bacillaceae. The record is from RNAcentral.
GUCAACGGGAAGAAGUCAACCGUUUUUGGGUCUUUAGAAGCAACCGCUGUACUAAGGACAGCUGUAUCACCGUAUCGGAUUAAAGCUGCUCCGCUAGCUUGCUUUGCCAAUUGGCCAACUUCGACAGUCAAUGUUCGGCCGGCCCAGUCAAUCGAAAAUGUCUUUUUUGUUUGAACCAUUUUUCAAACCCCUCUCUACAAUCUAUAAACGAGAAUAAUAAUAUACGUUAGACGAAUCAUUUAACUCUUUCAUAUAUGUAAAAGCUCUUGUUUACUUAAUCACACUAGUUUUAUUAUGCACGAAAAAAUGUAUCAUUAACAGUAUAAAAACAAAUAUGUAUG